CGUAGCCAUGGUAAAAUAAAUUAAACUUCAGAAAUUUCUUUCAAAAAAUUUUCAUUCAUUUCUAAAUUUUCAGCCCUUUUAGCUGUAUCUAAAUUUCAAGUGAACUUAUUUUCUUUAAAAAGUUAAAAAAAAUUUAAAAAACACGUCUCAAAAUGUGCGACCCUUGCUGCUCUCCCUGCGGACCGUGUCCAUCGCCUUGCGGCCCAUGUGGGCCGUGCGGGCCCUGUAGCCCCUGCGAUCCAUGCUGUGCACCGUUUGAGCCUAGAGCGUGUCGUAGUCGCGAAUUGCGUUGUGGAAUUAUGUACACUACCUGCGACUGUAUCAAAAGAAAUGGCUUGCAAGACCGAUGUCCGCGAUCGCUUUGCCAGGGGCGUGCUGCAUGUAUGUGCUUCCCCGUUCCGAAUUGCUGUCCAGCCUCGUUUCCACUGCGCUAUGCCAAUAUGACAAUGGGUGUGAAUAAUAGACGAAUGCGUUGCAAGGAAACCGCCGCAUUAUGUGCGCGAGCCUGUGGUGGUUGUGCACCGUGUGGCCCAUCAUGUGGACCUUGUGGUCCUUGUGGUCCCUGUGGGCCGUCAUGUUCUCCGUGUUGUGAUACUGCUUGUUGUGGUGCAUCGAAUCCACCAUGUGGUGCACCAGCUCCGAUACCAUGUCCACCGGCACCAGGCUGUUGUCCACCAAUUGUGGAAGCUGGUGUCCCAAAUCCGUGUGUGUGGAAUUGUAAUAAUACGCCUCCAACAUAUCCAUGGAAUUUACCUUCAGGUUUACGCAUAAUUGGAUUUAGUUAUGGCUCUAUGCCAGAAAAUCAGUAUACAAUGGGACAACACGCCGAUAUAUCUGAUCCCAAACUUGGCAGGCGCAAUAAGGUCACUUUUCAAAGCAAAAAAUCUUCAAAAUCUUCGCGUAGUCGCUAAAGUGUGAAAGCUCGAAUAAACGUACACGUUGUGAGAAGAUCUUGUUCGCUACAGCGAUUCUUUGUGUGAAAGUCUCUUGAUGAAGCUACGUGUACCCGACACUUGUGUGCUGUUCGUUUUAAAUUUGAUUUAACUUUUUAAUGAAAAUCGCAAAGUUCCACAUUCAGCAGAGUUGUGUCAUACCACUACCUAUUGUUGCUCUUCUCUCUCGUUUUUACUGUCGCUCUCUCUCUGAGUUUCUUAGCGUUUUGUGGUUUUUAAAUAUUAUUCUAAGGAAGGAAGCUAAGGCAGAUUACUUUUACGACUGAUAAAGGAUACUGACAACAAUACAUUAUUGUUGUUGUGUAAUGAAUCCAUAACUCGCGCGAAGGCAUCGAAAUGGAAACGUUUUGGACGCUGCAGUCCCAUUAUAAAUGCAUAUACAUAUCCGAAAAAUUCCACAAAUACGAGAGAUUCCAACGAGAACACGUUAACAUAAAAUGCGUACGCAAAGAGAAAAGUACGAUGUCAAACGAAGAAAAGACCGAAAGAGAGCAAGAAAAAGAGGAAGUGAGGAGUUUCAUUAAAUUCAGUGCGAGACAUCCUUUUCACGUUUAAGUACUUUGACAAACUUUCGAAAAUUUUUGUUUUUCUUUUUUAAUAAAAGCUUGGUAGUGGCUAUUUUUAUUAAAACUCUAAUACAAUGUAA
This is an RNA transcript of Bactrocera dorsalis (oriental fruit fly), 1599 nucleotides long. It is a transcript of the gene named keratin-associated protein 16-1, with no coding region annotated. NCBI's taxonomy places the organism in Eukaryota, Metazoa, Arthropoda, Insecta, Diptera, Tephritidae. The transcript is spliced from 5 exons. The record is from RefSeq and is a predicted model, not a curated record.